Molecule: long non-coding RNA, 675 nt
Filed under: Equus asinus (donkey)
Lineage: Eukaryota; Metazoa; Chordata; Mammalia; Perissodactyla; Equidae
Description: lncRNA (ENSEASG00005037681.1)
Source: RNAcentral
CAACCACAAUGGCUGUGGAAAGGGCAGUUAACUUUCUAAAAAAAAAAUCUCAAUAACAAAGCCACAGUAACCCCUCAAAACAUCUCACAAAUCAGAUCCAGGCCUGAGUACAGAUGAAGAAUCACCGCAUAUUCAUCAUUUCUGGAAAACGCAUUCAAAGAGGGCCAGAAGCAGCUGUUUUGUGCUCAAACCACGGCAUGUUUACCUCCAAAACCAGUGCUAAGGAAACAGUUACACUGCUUAUCUGAGAGGGAUGCAUACACAGAAAAGGAUUGGUUUAUAGGCUAAGCAGUGGUUUUUGUCUCAGACAAUUAUUUUUACGAUAUUCUCUCCCUGGGGCCCACAGGCCCCAGACAGAAGACCCUACCUGGCUGCAUCCUAAUUAAGGCUUCUUUCCUGACACAGGGUUGCAGAGGUAAUAAAUUGUGCCCAAUUUGCUGGUCUUCUGCUCCCAGUCACCCCUCAUCUGCAGCCACUGUUCCUUGUUCCCUGUUGCUUUAUUCGAACACACCAGCCACUUUCUCCCAGCCAGUUGCUAUGUCUCUCCCUGGAUGCAUUCGUGGACCCAGGUCACAUCUUCAUCAUUAUCCUCUACCAAGAAGACAACACUUUGGAACUUGAUGUGAAUAAGGGAGACUGGCAAUUUAAGUACCAUUUAUAGCAAAGGGAAAAGAG